UACGUAGGGGGCAAGCGUUGUCCGGAAUUAUUGGGCGUAAAGGGCGUGUAGGCGGCGUGUUAAGUCCUGUGGGAAAGGCAGGGGCUCAACCUCUGGAGAUCAUGGGAAACUGGCAAGCUAGAGGGCAGUAGAGGGGUGUGGAAUUCCCGGUGUAGCGGUGAAAUGCGUAGAGAUCGGGAAGAACACCAGUGGCGAAGGCGACACUCUGGGCUGCACCUGACGCUGAGGCGCGAAAGCUAGGGGAGCGAACGGG
This 253-nucleotide ribosomal RNA is filed under the name uncultured organism. RNAcentral's name for it is "partial 16S ribosomal RNA". It matches the Rfam family "Bacterial small subunit ribosomal RNA", at positions 524 to 776 of the family's 1533-position model. The record is from RNAcentral.